GGGACACGUGGUAUCCUGUCUGAAUAUGGGGGGACCAUCCUCCAAGGCUAAAUACUCCUGACUGACCGAUAGUGAACCAGUACCGUGAGGGAAAGGCGAAAAGAACCCCGGCGAGGGGAGUGAAAAAGAACCUGAAACCGUGUACGUACAAGCAGUGGGAGCACCUUCGGGUGUGACUGCGUACCUUUUGUAUAAUGGGUCAGCGACUUAUAUUCUGUAGCAAGGUUAACCGUAUAGGGGAGCCGAAGGGAAACCGAGUCUUAACUGGGCGUUAAGUUGCAGGGUAUAGACCCGAAACCCGGUGAUCUAGCCAUGGGCAGGUUGAAGGUUGGGUAACACUAACUGGAGGACCGAACCGACUAAUGUUGAAAAAUUAGCGGAUGACCUGUGGCUGGGGGUGAAAGGCCAAUCAAACCGGGAGAUAGCUGGUUCUCCCCGAAAGCUAUUUAGGUAGCGCCUCGUGAACUCAUCUUCGGGGGUAGAGCACUGUUUCGGCUAGGGGGCCAUCCCGGCUUACCAACCCGAUGCAAACUACGAAUACCGAAGAAUGUUAUCACGGGAGACACACGGCGGGUGCUAACGUCCGUCGUGAAGAGGGAAACAACCCAGACCGCCAGCUAAGGUCCCAAAGUCAUGGUUAAGUGGGAAACGAUGUGGGAAGGCACAGACAGCCAGGAUGUUGGCUUAGA
RNAcentral lists this ribosomal RNA (689 nucleotides) under Enterobacter hormaechei. RNAcentral describes it as "partial 23S ribosomal RNA". It matches the Rfam family "Bacterial large subunit ribosomal RNA", at positions 419 to 1110 of the family's 2925-position model. The record is from RNAcentral. Lineage: Bacteria; Pseudomonadati; Pseudomonadota; Gammaproteobacteria; Enterobacterales; Enterobacteriaceae.